CCCAUUUUACAUUUCUGAUAAGCGUAAUUCUGUCGCGCUGUGCCGCCCAAAGCCCCAGAGAGAGCCCCUUCUUCGGGAAAGGAAAGAAAGGUGAGCCUCCUCCAAGAGGCGGAAGAGCCCUGCCUGGAAACCAUGGUAAAAGGGAUAGAGGGGACCCAGGCAGCGCUGAAAAUGCUAAGGGGCUCUGGAGCAUGCCGCGACUUUUCCCGGAGAGCCAGUCCUUUGGGUCCAGACACCUCCGGGCUUCUUGGAGAGGAAAUGCUUAUGCAUUCUCCAGCGCCAGCUAACCAGGGCUCCGCACCCGUGGCCCAGUCCUCCCGCAAAGCACCGCAAAGCUGGGGGCGCAUCCUGGAGAAUGGAAAUCUGGGGUUUCCCCAGCCUGGGAGAUAGAAUGCUCAGUCUCCCUCCCCACCCCCGACUGAAGUGUCAAGUUUCCUCCAGGGGAGGGGGUGAGCUACAAGGUCUGCUUUCCCGCGCGGCCCAAGCUGCAAAUUCUACUUUGCUCCACCGCGGCCAAAGCCGCGCGCGCGCGCGCACACACACACACGCGCGUAACACGUUCACCCUCAAAGCACAUUUACACACUCACACUCGUGCACAGACACACAGGUUCCGACGUGCUUUUGAGUCGGUGACCCAGAUCUCUGCUGGCUGCGCGCACUUUUGGAGCUUCGCUACGGGCGGGGCGCGUGGGGCGGGGCACCGGCAGAGGAGAAAUUGAUAACAGAUUCGGCGGAUUACAGUGGAUCUCUUUGUUAGAGCCGAAACCCCACAAACCGAACCUAUUUGUGGCCUGACGCCCCGGGACGAGUCCACCAGUUCCCAGAACCGGGGCCAGCUAGGAGUGGAGCCAUCCGGUCUCCAGACUCGGGUCUCUCUAGCUCCAGGGUAAGGUAGGCUGGGGUGUCCCAACCGGGAUCGAACAGGAGAGCCCCAGCGAGUAGCGCCUCCACUUAACCCCGCGCUCUUGCCCGGAAACACCUUGGCCUUCUUCCCGCUCCAAUUGCAUCACAACCCAGAAAAGGCCCCACAAGUUUGAAAGAUUCGAGGAACCCACAGCGAACUCACUAAUAAAUACAUCCACUCUGUAGGGUAAAACAUCCCCAUCUAUUUACCAAAAGAUCUGAUCCGAAAAGACAGUACGAAAUGAGACUUCUCAGGAGACUGUCACACCAGGGAUAAACAAAAGUUCUGGUCAGAAGAAUGAGCUAAAUGUUUUCCAACAGAGGCCCAAGGAAGCCGACACUAUAAGGACCCUGGGAAGCUGUUCCUCCUAUGCACCCAGAGGAGGGUUGGGGGCAUUUGCCAGGUUCAGCGCAAGGGUGGGGUAAGGUGAAGGGAGGGCGUUCCUUCCAAUCCAGAGUAGCUCUAUCUAUGUCAUGGCUCCCGCAUUAAGUCUCUCCCCCAAAGUUUCCUCGUUAGAUCAAAGGUGUCAACUGUGGGGGAUGUUGAAGGGUAAGGGAAAGUAAGUUUUGAUGAGGAAAACUGAUCAGAGGAUGUCCCCGGACUCCAGCCAAGGAGCUUCAGAACGCGCGCGCAAACGCGCCCAGCACCCUAGAGCAGCCACAGGCGGUGACUGCUCAAAAGAAAUGACAAAAAGACUGGGCACGGUCUCCGAACCUCCUCCACUGGGCCCAUCACCUCAGUCGGUCUGGGCAUCUCCUUCUACUAGAUUGUACAUCUAGGGCCCAAGUCUGGGAGUGGAAGUGAUGAGGGACGCCAACUAGGCGGAAGAAGUGAGUUUGACUCGGGCUCCCGGUGACGAAAAGGAAGAUGGGAAACUCCAAGAAGAAACUCGGCUCUCGGUGGGGGAGAAAAAAAAAAGCAACUGUUUUCCUCACUCUAUUUUCUUCCAAAAGCAAGAAGAGAAAUGAAAAAACUUGCAGAGAAAAAAACUUUGUUGCAACCACAAACCUGGGACAUCCUGCCCAGGGAGAAUGCGAAGAAGAAAGAGAAGAGAUGUGAUGCGAAAGAAUGGGCCGACCAAGGCCAGCAGGGGGUCCGCUUUGGGGGCAUCAGACGAAGGAGCCCUUGCUCCCCAUGCCCUGUGAUUAGGAGCAGGGGAACUACAGCCAUCCCACGCAGCCUGGGAAAACUGAAAAUGGGAAAGACGAAGAAGAAUAGAAAUAAGGAUCUAAACUUGGAAGGCAGAAAGAGGAAAAGUUGUUUGGGGGAAAAGCAAAGUUAUAUUGUAGGAAGAAACGUUUAACUUUUCUUAAAAGUGAACUUUCGAUGACCCUCGGAGUGUGUGACUCGGCUUUAACAGACAACUGACAAUUAAAACAAACACGAGUUCACAAACUGGCCCCCGCCCGCUCUCCCAACGCGGAGGCCCAAGGGUUUCUAAAGAACCAGGCCGAUUGCGCUCAGGGGGUCGGGGCGCGCUCUCUCAACCCACGGGAUUAGAGCCACCAAGACCACUACUCCCCGCCCCCACCACCACUGCAAAGUGCCUGAGCUCACCCAGUGGCGGCUAAUAAUGCUAAUAACGCGACCCUACUCCCCGCGCCGGGGUGCGCGCUGGCCCCCCGCCAGGCACUCUUAAAGGCACAGGGGCCUGUAACCUCCCUGUUAGUCGGCAGAGACUAGCCUGCAACCUGGCCUAGGUCGGGAGGGUGGGGGGUAGAGAAUGCGCUUCUCUGAGUAGCUGGCCUCUAGUCCCAUUGCCAGAUCUCCCAACCAAAGAGUUCCCUUCCCCUUUCGAGCCCCUGCCACACACCCCCCUAGUGCCCGCGCAGUGGACGCUUAAUAAAUAUCUGUUGAAUUGAA
Ictidomys tridecemlineatus (thirteen-lined ground squirrel) is the source of this 2769-nucleotide long non-coding RNA. RefSeq lists it as uncharacterized. Lineage: Eukaryota; Metazoa; Chordata; Mammalia; Rodentia; Sciuridae. The record is from RefSeq and is a predicted model, not a curated record.